GGGUAUAGCUCAGCCGGUAGAGUCGCGGUCUCCAAAACCGUUGGUCGUGGGUUCAAGUCCUACUGCCC
This 68-nucleotide transfer RNA is filed under the name human gut metagenome. It matches the Rfam family "tRNA". Rfam says of the family: Transfer RNA (tRNA) molecules are approximately 80 nucleotides in length. Their secondary structure includes four short double-helical elements and three loops (D, anti-codon, and T loops). Further hydrogen bonds mediate the characteristic L-shaped molecular structure. tRNAs have two regions of fundamental functional importance: the anti-codon, which is responsible for specific mRNA codon recognition, and the 3' end, to which the tRNAs corresponding amino acid is attached (by aminoacyl-tRNA synthetases). tRNAs cope with the degeneracy of the genetic code in two manners: having more than one tRNA (with a specific anti-codon) for a particular amino acid; and 'wobble' base-pairing, i.e. permitting non-standard base-pairing at the 3rd anti-codon position. The record is from RNAcentral.